This 160-nucleotide ribosomal RNA is filed under the name Globisporangium splendens. RNAcentral's name for it is "5.8S rRNA". It matches the Rfam family "5.8S ribosomal RNA". Rfam says of the family: 5.8S ribosomal RNA (5.8S rRNA) is a component of the large subunit of the eukaryotic ribosome. The record is from RNAcentral. Lineage: Eukaryota; Oomycota; Peronosporomycetes; Pythiales; Pythiaceae.
ACAACUUUCAGCAGUGGAUGUCUAGGCUCGCACAUAGAUGAAGAACGCUGCGAACUGCGAUACGUAAUGCGAAUUGCAGAAUUCAGUGAGUCAUCGAAAUUUUGAACGCAUAUUGCACUUUCGGGUUAUGCCUGGAAGUAUGUCUGUAUCAGUGUCCGUA